AAAAUCCGUUGAAUUUAAAAAUCGUGAGGGUUCAAGUCCCUCUAUCCCCA
Molecule: transfer RNA, 50 nt
Filed under: Veronica formosa
Lineage: Eukaryota; Viridiplantae; Streptophyta; Magnoliopsida; Lamiales; Plantaginaceae
Description: partial tRNA-Leu
Source: RNAcentral